CUCAUCUGGGAAGGCCGGAAGGGGUCCCAGAACUGCUGUGCCCAUUCUCCGUGGUGGAAAAACAGCCCAGGAGCAGAAGUGGGGUCAGGGCUUGGGGGGUCCACACACCCGUUGUCAGACAUCUUCUGUGCUGGUCACCCUGGGGGUGUCAUGCUGUCUUCUCACCUGCUUUGGGAACUUCCGGCACACGGAGACUCGCAACACUGUGUCCCGCGAGGAGCUCAUGAUGGUGCUGGCCAGCCUGGAGCAGCUGCAGAUCCGUGCCCUCUUCUCACAGAUCUCCUCGGCUGUCUCCCUGCGCAGGGUGGCACUGGAGGUGGCCAGCCCAGCAGGCCAGGGGGCCCUGGCCAGCAAUGUGGAGCUGUGCCUGUGCCCCGCCAGCUACCGGGGGGACUCAUGCCAGGUGAGGUCAGGACAGCACUAGACUGCUCACCUGUGCACACCCUUUCCUCUAGCACCUCCCUGUGUUCCCUUCCUUGCUGCCUCCACUUCCUGUCACCCUACUCACCUCUCUUCCUGUCUCUGCCCUUCACAGGCUGCUGGCCAACUCACAGGCCUGCCUGUCCCCUG
This 570-nucleotide small RNA is filed under the name Pongo abelii (Sumatran orangutan). RNAcentral's name for it is "processed transcript". The record is from RNAcentral. Lineage: Eukaryota; Metazoa; Chordata; Mammalia; Primates; Hominidae.